ACCUCUCCUUUGAGAUGUGGUGCAAAUCCCUCGCCCUGUGUGAGGCAGGAGACUCAGUGUUUGUGAGAGACUUGGGGAGCUGAGGAGACAGGACACGGCCAGUUCUCCUGGUCGCUUCUGGUCCUGGAGUCCCACCUCUGCCGAUUAGCUCCAUUUCUGGUUUGCUCACGUCUGCUGUCAUCUCUUUCCCAUAGCGUGGACCCCACAUAGCUCACGGUCCAAGUCCUUCUACUCCGCAUUCCAAGGCUGUGGGUGCAGCAUUCAUCUACUGGCGCUUUGGGGGCAGUGAAAUUGCUUAAUUCAUCAAGAGAAGUUUAAAGUAAAGCAUUGGGGCAGACAUUUGGUGUGAUAGCUAAUAUGUCACUUAGGAUUCCUGCAUCUCAUAUGGAGUCCUGGCUCUUGUUCCUGUUCCAGCUUUUUACUAAUGCACACCCUGGGAGGCAGAAAAUGAUGGCUCAAGUAUUUGGAUUGCUGCCACUCACAAAGGAGAUCUGGAUGGAGUUCUCUGGGCUCCUGGCUUGGGCCUCGUCCAGCCUCAGAUUUUGUGGAUGUAUACGGAUUCAGCCAGCAGCAAACGGAUGCGCUCUCUCUCUCUGUCUCUCUAUCUUUCCAAUACAGAAAUAUAAAUUUUCCAAAGUCAUCAUAUCAUUAAAUCUGAAUAGAGAACAUUGCAGCUUUCAAAAAUCUUUGGUCUUUGAGAACUUCUCACUAUUGACUUUUUUUCUGCAGGCUGCCUGGAGUGUUAUACAGAUGCUUUUUAAUUUAUGAUGGCAUUCCUGAAAAUAUCACAAGUAAAAAAUGCAUUUUGUAAACCUAAGCUAUUGAGCAUAAGAACUUAGCAACACAGCACACUGCAGAGUCACGGUCAUUUCCCCGUGGGAUCCCGUGGCCAAAUGGGAUUGCGUGCUCAUGGCUGCUGCCCAGCAUCAGGACAAAGCACUGCACCACAAUGCACUUGCGUGGGAAAAGAUCCGACUGUAGGAUUCGCAAGCAAGGAAGACAGAAAAGGACAAGAAACCAUUAACACGGAUCGAAGAAAUGAGACAACCACAUCAGAGCGUGUGAGAACAUCAGGGUCCAGUGUGACCGAAGACCACUCCCAAAGGUCAGAGAGCCCCGGAGAGCAGGAGAGGAAGGGGAUGUUAUUCAACAUUACACGGGCUAAAUAACCCCCUGUCCCAUACUUCUUGAUCUCUGAUCUGUUUUAACAUAACAGUUGGGACACAAAAUUGGCUGGGAAGAGAGGAAAGUUCCGAGGCAGAUGGAGUGACCAUCUGGGCAGGUGGCCAGGGUUCAGUAGCUGCGCUCAUCUCCAAACAGUGUGUGGGACAUUUAGUCACGGAGACUGUGAACAUUGUACCAUCAGAUAGGAUGUGUUCCCACCUCACAUGGUGUCUUCCAUAUGUCUCAAAAUAUUGACAGCCUUAAGAAAUGAUAGAAAGAGCAAAUAGAAGGUGAAGAAGAGAGAGAUUACGCAGGACAAACAAGAGCGAUGGAGGCCAGCUGUUCCCCAUUCUUCCCCAGGACAGAGUUCCCUCCCGUGAACUGUCUCAGCACAUCAGCGCCACCUUGGAUUGUGACUGUUUGUGUAGAAGGCUUAUUUUCCAUACUGAACUGUGAGUGUCUGAGGCUCAGGGCAGCCUCGUUCCUCUUUAGAUCCCUCCAAGAUGGGCCUUGAACUUAAUGGAAGCGCAGAGCCCGAGUAUGGAAGCGCAGAGCCCGAGUACGGAAAGCAUAGGAGUGCUGGAAACAACAGUGGUGGAGAUAUAAAUCACAUAGAUUUAAGGACCAUUGUCUUGAGUGUUGUCAAAUCAGAGAAUAAUUUACUGAAGGUUAUAUCUUCUCUCUCUGUCUCUCUAGAGGUCUAAAAAAAAAAAAGAAAAGAAAAACAUUCUCAUCAAGUUGAAAUUAUUUAAAUAUGGUCUUGUGUGUGGCCGGAGGAAGUCAGCACCUCUCAGGAUUCCGUCCAGGGUUCUGUGCUCUUGGUCUGUGAUGAGAAACACCAGCUUCAACUUUUCUCUCCUUCAUUCUCGCUCUUCCUCUCUGUCAGCCAUGUUGGAAUCCACCUGAGAGCGAGCACUAAAUGGUAGGAUUUCUGCAUCUUGUCUCCUCUGAGAGUCUCCUGGUACCUAAAGGAGAGAUGUGGGCUUGGGCUGAUCCACCGCAGCAAGGCCCACCCCACUCUGAGGCUGUGACAGGCCUGUGACAGGACCAUGCACUUAGGAGGGAAUCAGAUGGUGAGGCUGCCUCCUUCAUCGGGCCUUGGAAAGUGGAGGCCAUCAGUAAUGUGCGUGUUUGUUGGACACACGAUUUUCUGCAAAUCUAACUUCAGCACGAGCGUCUUUAAAAGGCAUCCAUUCUUUCUCGAUGGUCAUUGGGUGUAGCCUUGCCUGCCAGCAAUCCCAUGCAGAGGGCAAGGGCGCUCCCCUCUCUCCCACUCCAAACCUACGGUACUCAGUGAAACCAGAGACGUUUUUGACAAGGGAACCGCAUUCUUCCAUUAAACAGUAAAAUCGUGUUUCUCUAUUUGAAAGGGACUUCGCUUCUUCAGUCUAAUUUUCAAACAGUGUUGGACUAAGAUGGUCAGGACCCUUGAAACUGCAUCUGAGUUGUUGAUUUCUCAUUUCAUCCGGGCUCUAGGGAUUUCCUUUUGAAAAAAAAAAAAAAAAAAAAGAGAUGGUAAAGGGGAGAGAACUGUUGAUGUUUUCACAAGACCAGGUUCUUCGGGAAGGAAAAGAGAACAGUGGUUCAACACUGGCCUAAACUGGGUUGAGCCCUCACUGUGGCUCAUGAACUGUUUUUUGUUGUUGUUUGUUUGUUUGUUGUUGUUGUUGUUGUUGACAGGCAGAGUGGACAGUGAGAGAGAGACAGAGAGAAAGGUCUUCCUUUACCGUUGGUUCACCCUCCAAUGGCCACCGCGGCUGGCGCGCUGCGGCCGGCACAUUGCGCUGAUCCGAAGGCAGGAGCCAGGUGCUUCUCCUGGUCUCCCAUGGGGUGCAGGGCCCAAGCACCUGGGCCAUCCUCCACUGCACUCCCGGACCACAGCAGAGAGCUACACUGGAAGAGGGCCUACCAAGACAGAAUCUGGCACCCCGACCGGGACUAGAACCCGGUGUGCCGGCGCCGCAAGGCGGAGGAUUAGCCUAGUGAGCCGCAACACUGGCUAUGAACUGGUUUUGGAAGUUGGGAGGAGCAUCUGCAUUUCACCCAUUACCAUGUGACCCCAGUCUCCAGGGGAGAAAGCAGUGAACACGUUGGAGGUAAACCUCCGGAAAGCAAUAAGCCACUCGGAGGGAGUUACAUUACAUCACCAAAGGGCGGGUUACUCAACUGAGAAUAUUCUGGGAGUUCUGAUAGCGUAGGCCUGUGCAGGCUCUCCAGGUGGUAUCACUAACCCAUAUGUGGCUACUGAGCAUUUGAAAUGUGGCCAUUCUGCACUGAAAUGAGUUAUGGGUAUAAAAUACAUGCCACAAUAUCAAAGACAGUAUAAAUAAAGAAGGAAAAAUAGCUUAGUGGUAUUUUUCAUUAAUUAUGUGUUGAAAUGAUAAUAUUUUGAAUAUACAAGGAGUCUUCAAAAACUUCACAGAGGGGUUGGUGCUGUGGAAUAGUGGGCUAAGCCUCCACCUGCAGUGCUGGCAUACCAUAUGGGCACUGGUUUGGGUCCUGGCUGCUCCUCUUCUGAACCAGGUCCCUGCUAAUGUGCCUGAGAAAAGCGCUGGAAGACAGCCCAAGUGCUUCGGCUCCUGAUCCCAUAUGGGAGACCUAGAAGAAGCUACUGGCUCUGACUUUGGAUAGGCCCAACUCUGGCCAUUGCAGCCAUCUGGGGAGUGAACCAGCAGAUGGAAGACCUUUCUCUCUGUGUUUCCCUCUCUCUGAACUCUACCACUCAAAUAAAUCAAUAAAUAACUCUUAAAAAAAACUUGAUAGAAAACACAUAUUAUGGAAAACUAUGGGUGGAUUUCCAGUUUUUUCAUCAAAAUAAACUUUUAAUUUCACUUUCUAUAAACUUUUUAAAAAAUUGAUUUAUUUAUUCUUGAAGUGGGGGGAGGAGAAAGAGGGGGAGGGAGGUUGGGACAGGUCAAAGCCUGGAACGUAGAAAUUUAUUUGGAUUUCCCAUGUGGGUGGCAGGGACCAAGUACUUGAGCCACCAUUUGUGGUAGGCAACCUAGAGUUGUGGGGAUAGAGACUCCCAAAUUAUGUUGUGCAGACCAAAAGCCCUGAUUGGACUCAGAAACACCCCCAGCUGGACUUAGUUCAGAUCUUUGACUUCCUGUGUAUAAGAAUGCAACCAGGGGAUGUAGAUAGAGGUGAACAGAAAAGUAAGAUUUUUUUGAAAGGCAAAAGGAUAGUAUAGAGUCAAAAUCAAAAUGGAGUGAAUGUGGCUAAAAGUUAAUUGCAGACCUCUUGCUUCUGUACAUAUUAGCUUUGCUUGCUAAUGGCUAAGGGUGCAUCUUGUAAAACUGUGGGCCCAAAUUCCCAGGAACAAAGUUGACAGAAAUGUGUCCUUCACUGUUAUCUUACAACCAUAUCUUGGAUCUGUUAUUGGGCUUGUUAUUGUUAUCUUGCAAUCAUAUUCUGGUUUUUUUAUUGUUCACUGCAUACCAAGGGUCCAGUUCGAAAUUGUGAGCCCUAGUGAACAGGAACACUAUAAAAACCUGUGUAACCUGCUGUUGGGGGCCGCACUCUGGUAACGAGUGUUGGUCCCGAUCGGUUACCUUGCCUCUCAUUUGCAUCUCAUUUUCAAUAAAAUUCAUGCAUGACUGUCA
Molecule: non-coding RNA, 4766 nt
Organism: Oryctolagus cuniculus (rabbit)
Lineage: Eukaryota; Metazoa; Chordata; Mammalia; Lagomorpha; Leporidae
Source: RefSeq, a predicted model, not a curated record